RNAcentral lists this ribosomal RNA (729 nucleotides) under uncultured bacterium. RNAcentral's name for it is "bacterial SSU rRNA". It matches the Rfam family "Bacterial small subunit ribosomal RNA", at positions 82 to 810 of the family's 1533-position model. The record is from RNAcentral.
UAGCAAUAUCAUAGUGGCGCACGGGUGCGUAACACGUAUGCAACCUACCUUAUACUGAGGGAUAGCCUUUCGAAAGGGAGAUUAAUACCUCAUAACACAUUGAACUGGCAUCAGUUUAUUGUUAAAGAUUUAUUGGUAUAAGAUGGGCAUGCGUCCAAUUAGUUAGUUGGCGAGGUAACGGCUCACCAAGACGAUGAUUGGUAGGGGAACUGAGAGGUUAAUCCCCCACACUGGCACUGAGAUACGGGCCAGACUCCUACGGGAGGCAGCAGUAGGGAAUAUUGGGCAAUGGAGGCAACUCUGACCCAGCCAUGCCGCGUGCAGGAAGAAGGCGUUAUGCGUUGUAAACUGCUUUUAUAUAGGAAGAAAUAGACCUUGCGAGGUAAGUUGACGGUACUAUAUGAAUAAGCACCGGCUAACUCCGUGCCAGCAGCCGCGGUAAUACGGAGGGUGCAAGCGUUGUCCGGAUUUAUUGGGUUUAAAGGGUGCGUAGGCGGUUUAUUAAGUCAGUGGUGAAAGACGGUCGCUCAACGAUUGCAGUGCCAUUGAUACUGGUAGACUUGAGUGGGAUUGAGGUAGCUGGAAUGGAUAGUGUAGCGGUGAAAUGCAUAGAUAUUAUCCAGAACACCAAUUGCGUANGCAAGUUACUAAGUCUCAACUGACGCUGAGGCACGAAAGCGUGGGUAUCAAACAGGAUUAGAUACCCUGGUAGUCCCCACUGUAAACGAU